This is a long non-coding RNA of Pongo pygmaeus (Bornean orangutan), 4153 nucleotides long. RefSeq lists it as uncharacterized. Lineage: Eukaryota; Metazoa; Chordata; Mammalia; Primates; Hominidae. The transcript is spliced from 6 exons. The record is from RefSeq and is a predicted model, not a curated record.
CAGCAAAUCAAGCAAGAGGUCUUAAAAAGAAAAAGUAGAAAUAUCUUAUAAGUCAGUUUAUACAAUGGAUAGAAUUUUCUGUUCCUACUCCAAUGGCUUCAAGUCACCUCAAAUGCCACCUCUUCCAAGAAGGCCUUCGUAUGGGAAGGAGGGUUAACCAGCCUUGGAAUCAGCUUGCCACAAUAGAAAGAAACUUAGAGAAACAAAACUGCUCCUUAGUGAAUACCAUAGAGCUGCUGGAUCAAGCCUUGCCUGCAACUUCCACCGCUAGUGACCUUUUGAGUUUAGCAUAGAUACAAUUUCCUGUGGGACACUCAGUAUCUCCAAGACCUAGGAUGUGCCUUGAGAGUUACCAAGUUCCCUCAGAUGAAGGAGGAGAGAACCCUAAUCUGAAGAGGGGAGGUCUGAAGUGGACAGGAACAGUACCAAGGAGACCAGAGGAGGCAAAACAUUAAAAGUUGAGGAAACAGCAUAAAUAACAGAAGACUGAAACUAAGUCUCCCAACGACAGGAAUGAAGGCCGCGUUCUUUUUCCUCUGACUCUACCCCACCUCUGGCUACAGCUGAUUGGAUCAAAGACAGACACCUGACCAAGGACAGUCACGCUGUGCUUUAUGUCCCGGCCGAAAAAGGCUCUGGUGAGGAUCAAAACUUUUUUUUAAUUUAGGUAAUUAAAUAAAUGAGCUGAACGGAAGUCUGAAUCAGUAACUCUUUGUAGCCUUAAAUGAAGUACAGCGGGAAAAGGAACACAGGAACUCAAGCUUGCCCUGGGCUGCCUGGUGGGAAACAGAUCCGGAUCUGCAAAGGUGUUAGGUAUCUGUGCAGAGGAAGCCGUCUCUGCCCUUGAUUUCGGCCCUCAGAGCCCUCAAUGACAGCAGUAGAGUCUUCUACUAAGCUAUGUUUCUAAGGAUAAGGUUGGGAUCCUGACAGUGAAUAAGGUUAUCCUGCAGGAUGGAGAGCUGAGAAUUCUUGGCACCCGAGCCUCUCUGAGGCAGUUACCAAUGCAAGCUCCCUCCCACAUGUGAGGAGACAUCCCUUUUUAAGCCCAUCCUGUGACCAAAGCUUGGAAUGCAGCGCUGGCUUUUGGAAAUAAGCAAAGGCAGAUUAAGGAAGAAAGGGCCUUUACUGUGAGUUCUGACUGAUAUUUCCCUUUAGGGCCUUGAGGCUUAAGCCUUUCGUUCUAGAAGAAUGGGGAGGGGAGGAGCUACUCCCAUUUGUUGCUAAGCGACUAAAGCUUUCUCGGGUCACGUUUGCAGCUAUUGAGAAUCAGUGACAAGGUGGAUGUAGAGAUGCAGGGAGAAGCCUCUCAUUUCAAGAUUUCUGGUUCUGUAUUUUAAACCAUGGAGUUCGCAAGAACAAAAUUGAUUGGAAGCCUGUCAAAGUUCGAGAAUGGUGUUUUUAGAAAGAAGCCAAGCCUUAGAAGGAGGAAUAAGUUUCAGGCUUAAACCAACACAGCAGGGCAUCUUAUCUUCCUCUGCAAAGUCCAGGCCCGAUACAAAGGAUGUUAAGAAUAAAUAUAACAAAAAAUAUGCACAACCUGUAUGAAGAAAAAAACACAAACCAACCAACCAACCAAAUGAAGGGCCUAAAAUAACAGAAUGAAUGGAGAGUCAUGACAUGUCCUUUUUGGAAAGACAGAUACUGUAAAGAUGUAAAUUUUCUGCAAACUAUUUGUAAGUAUAACAAAGAGAUCCAUUUUGUAUUUGACGUGACAACAUAACUCUCAUUUAUUUGGAAGAUUAAAUGUAGGAAUAUCCAGAAACAUUCUGAGAAAAAAAGAGUAACAAGUAGGAAUUUGCCUGUGGCGUAUUAAACCUUUUUUUUUUUUUUUUUUUUGAGACGGAGUCUCGCUCUGUCGCCCAGGCCGGAGUGCAGUGGCGCGAUCUCGGCUCACUGCAAGCUCCGCCUCCCGGGUUCACGCCGUUCUCCUGCCUCAGCCUCCCGAGUAGCUGGGACUACAGGCGCCCGCCACCACGCCCGGCUAAUUUUUUGUAUUUUUAGUAGAGACGGGGUUUCACCGUGUUAGCCAAGAUGUUCUCCAUUUCCUGACCUCGUGAUCUGCCCGCCUCGGCCUCCCAAAGUGCUGGGAUUACAGGCGUGAGCCACCGUGCCUGGCCUUAAGCCAUAUUUUUAAACUGUGAUAGUGUUUGAGUAACAGCAUCGGAGUAAACAGGCAGAUCAAUGGAAGAGAUUAAAAAGUCCAGAAGCAAACCAAGCUCUAAGUUCCUGGGAAUUUAGAGGUGAUAUUUCAAAUCAAUGUACUGAAUGGGUUUUCCAAAAAAAUGUUUUGGAACAAAUGGCUAGUGUUUGCAAAAAUAUAAGAGAAGCCUGCCUCCCACUUAAUGAUAUUUUGAAAUUUAAGGCUGGGCACGGUGGCUCACAGCUGUAAACCAGAAAAGCCAGCACUUUGGGAGGCCAAGGUAGGAGGAUCACUUGAGGCUAGGAGUUCAAGACUAGUCUGGGUAACAUUACAAGACCCUGUGUCUACAAAAUUUUUUUUUAAAUUUGCCAGAGGGAUGGUGCCGUCUGUAGUCCUAGGUACUUGAGAGGCUGAGGAGGAAGGAUCCCUUGAGCCCAGGAGUUCUAGGCUGCAAUGAGUUAUAAUCACCCACUAGACUAGAGCCUGGGCAGCAGAGCCAGAUCCUGUCUUUAAGAAAAACAAAACAAAACAAAACAAAACAGAGAUUUGAAUGAAAAGAAUAAGAUUAUAAAAUAUGAGGAGAAAAUUCAGAUUAACAAUGCUACAAUCUUGAAAUGGGGAAGUGUAUUAGUCUGCCAGGUCUGCUAUUAAUAUAAAAAAAAAAACCUGUGGCUUAAUGGAAAUUUAUUUUCUCAGUUCUGGAGGCCGGAAGUCCAAGGUCAAAGUGUCAGCAGGGUUGGUUUCUCCUGAGGCCUUUUACCUUCUCCCUAUGUCUUCAGGUGGCCUUUUCCCUGAGCGUGUGCAUUCCUGGUGGCUGUUCCUCUUCUUAUAAGGACACCAGUCAUUGGAUUAGGGCCCCACCCUUAAGACUUCAUUUAACCGUAAUUACCUCUUUAAAGCCCCUAUCUUUAAAUAAGCCACACUGGCAAUCACCUUUCAACAUACACAUUUGGGGGGAUGCAAUUCAGUCUGUAACAGGAAGUAUUUUCUAAGUCUCACCUCAAAGACAGACCAGUCAUUCAUCUUACUAUAAAUCAAAGCUGUUUAAAAUAAUACAAAUCUCAUUUUUUAUUGAUUUGAUUUUUUAAAAAUUGAUGUCUUAGCAUAAGUAAGAUUAUGGGGAUACAGGGCAGUAUAAGUACUCUCCCACACUGUUGGUGGGACAGAACAUGGAUAUAAAUACUGUGCAGGGCAAUUUGGGUUUUGUAACAUACUAAAAGAAUGUGUUUCCUCUCCAUUUCUUAGAUUUUAUCCUAAAGGAGUAGUCCAACGGGUGAGUAAAAAUAUAUGUGCAAGAAUGUAAAAUUGUAUCAGAUAAUGAAAGUAGGAAACAAAUUUGGUGUUAGUAAAUAGGGGAUUAGAUCAGCCAAUUAAGAUACCAGUUACCCAGUAGAAUACUUUUUAGUCAUUAGGGAAAUACAUAGUAAAUCAGUUUUCUGGGAAUGGACCUAGAAUCUUUAACAUGUUAUGUUAAGUGAAAAAAAUAAAUUAUAGUAUGUUCCUAUUUAUGUAAAAAAUAUAAAUAGAAGUAUACAUGAUGAAAAGUGGUAAUAUAUGAUCUGAAUUAUUUACGCUGAGCAUAGAAUAUUUUGCUAAUCAGAAAGGCAAGCUAUUUUCAUUUUUAAAAAUAACCAUUUGUAGAAAUGAAAAGCAUAUUCCAUAUAUAGAAAUACAUAUUUAAAAAAUAACAUAAAAUUGGAAUAGAUAAAAUACAUUUGCUUGAUGAGGGGGCUCAGAAAAUAGAGGUAAAAAAGUCUUAUAAUAUCUAUCAGCUUAAACAUUUGGGAAACAUGGACUUAGAGCUUUCCUGGGAAAGUUUUAAGCUGUCUGAAGAUGGAAUGUCGUAAGUAAGAAGGGCCCCUUGACACUUGAUGAAAAAGAGUUUAAGAAACAUGUGGAUAGUGGAAGAGGAACACCCUGCCAAACUAAAAUUUUGUCCCCAAAGUGUAUCUCUUAAAGUGGAAGUCUAUCCCUACUAUGCACAGAGUUUCAAAACUGAUAAACAAUUCAGGA